AGUGCGCCAGCCUAACAUGCAGUCGAACGGUACCGACUAGCUGCUAGUGCCGACGAGUGCGACCGUGAGUAUACUACGAUCGCCUCUGGUGGGGGAUACUAUUGAAACGAUAGCUAUCCGCAUACGUCUACGACAAGAAGGGCUUCCGCUCUCGCGCAGAGAGGAACUAAGCGAGAUUAGCUUGUUGGUGAGGUAAAGGCUCACCAAGCGACGAUCUCUAGCUGUUCUGAGAGGAAGAUCAGCCACACUGGAACUGAGACACGGUCCAGACUCCUACGGGAGGCAGCAGUGGGGAAUAUUGCACAAUGGGGGCAACCUGAUGCAGCCAUGCCGCGUGUGUGAAGAAGGCCUUCGGGUUGUAAAGCACUUUCAGUUGUGAGGAAAGGUUAGUAGUUAAUACCUGCUAGCUGUGACGUUAACAACAGAAGAAGCACCGGCUAACUCCGUGCCAGCAGCCGCGGUAAUACGGAGGGUGCGAGCGUUAAUCGGAAUUACUGGGCGUAAAGCGCACGCAGGCGGUCUGUUAAGCUAGAUGUGAAAGCCCCGCGCUCAACGUGGGAGGGUCAUUUAGAACUGGCAGACUAGAGUCUUGGAGAGGGGAGUGGAAUUCCAGGUGUAGCGGUGAAAUGCGUAGAGAUCUGGAGGAACAUCAAUGGCGAAGGCAACUCCCUGGCCAAAGACUGACGCUCAUGUGCGAAAGUGUGGGUAGCGAACAGGAUUAGAUACCCUGGUAGUCCACACCGUAAACGCUGUCUACUAGCUGUUUGUGGAUUUAAUCCGUGAGUAGCGAAGCUAACGCGAUAAGUAGACCGCCUGGGGAGUACGGCCGCAAGGUUAAAACUCAAAUGAAUUGACGGGGGCCCGCACAAGCGGUGGAGCAUGUGGUUUAAUUCGAUGCAACGCGAAGAACCUUACCUACUCUUGACAUACUAGAAACUUUUCAGAGAUGAAUUGGUGCCUUCGGGAAUCUAGAUACAGGUGCUGCAUGGCUGUCGUCAGCUCGUGUCGUGAGAUGUUGGGUUAAGUCCCGCAACGAGCGCAACCCUUGUCCUUAGUUACCAGCAUUAAGUUGGGUACUUUAAGGAGACUGCCGGUGACAAACCGGAGGAAGGUGGGGACGACGUCAAGUCAUCAUGGCCCUUACGAGUAGGGCUACACACGUGCUACAAUGGCGAGUACAAAGGGAUGCAAACUGGUGACAGUAAGCGGACCCCUUAAAGCUCGUCGUAGUCCGGAUUGGAGUCUGCAACUCGACUCCAUGAAGUCGGAAUCGCUAGUAAUCGUAGGUCAGCAUACUACGGUGAAUACGUUCCCGGGCCUUGUACACACCGCCCGUCACACCAUGGGAGUGGGAUGCAAAAGAAGUGGGUAGCUUAACCUUCGGGAUGGCGCUUACCACUUUGUGUUUCAUGACUGGGGUGAAGUCGUAACAAGGUAGCCGU
RNAcentral lists this ribosomal RNA (1442 nucleotides) under uncultured Glaciecola sp. RNAcentral's name for it is "bacterial SSU rRNA". It matches the Rfam family "Bacterial small subunit ribosomal RNA". Lineage: Bacteria; Pseudomonadati; Pseudomonadota; Gammaproteobacteria; Alteromonadales; Alteromonadaceae. The record is from RNAcentral.